AACGCAACUUGCGCUCUCUGGUAUUCCGGGGAGCAUGCCUGUUUGAGAAUCGCAAAGCAACACAAAUCAUAUUUUUUGUUUCGGCAAAGAAUGUGGAGUUGAGCCUUUUUUUUUCUUUCCCAGCCUAACUUUUGCUUCUUAGGAGGUAGAGUUUUUUUUGGGGGGGAUGGCUUGAAAUACAGAAGGACGGGGCCUUGGGUAAAACCAGGCUUCCAUCAGGUCAAACAAUUUCAAUACUUGAGCAAAAUAAUAGUUAAUGCGUUUUUCCCUUCGCGGAAAAAAGCGUUAUUCUUUUUUGCUCGGUAGUCUGAUCUGGGCCGGGAAAUUUGAUUUUUUCAGGCGUCCUCACACUCUUUCGGGAGGAAACAUCGAUUCUCGACGAAGUCCCUCGUAAAAAAAGGGCUUCCGACCUCUUAGAUCUCAAAUCAGGCAAGAGUACCCGCUGAACUUAA
This 452-nucleotide unclassified non-coding RNA is filed under the name uncultured fungus. RNAcentral's name for it is "partial contains 5.8S ribosomal RNA, internal transcribed spacer 2, and large subunit ribosomal RNA". Lineage: Eukaryota; Fungi. The record is from RNAcentral.